UGGGGAAUUUUGGACAAUGGGCGCAAGCCUGAUCCAGCCAUGCCGCGUGAGUGAAGAAGGCCUUCGGGUUGUAAAGCUCUUUUAGUCGGAAAGAAAGAGUUGCAAUGAAUAAUUGUGAUUUAUGACGGUACCGACAGAAAAAGCACCGGCUAACUACGUGCCAGCAGCCGCGGUAAUACGUAGGGUGCGAGCGUUAAUCGGAAUUACUGGGCGUAAAGGGUGCGCAGGCGGUCUUGCAAGUCAGAUGUGAAAGCCCCGGGCUUAACCUGGGAAUUGCGUUUGAAACUACAAGGCUAGAGUGCAGCAGAGGGGAGUGGAAUUCCAUGUGUAGCAGUGAAAUGCGUAGAGAUGUGGAAGAACACCGAUGGCGAAGGCAGCUCCCUGGGUUGACACUGACGCUCAUGCACGAAAGCGUGGGGAGCAAACA
RNAcentral lists this ribosomal RNA (427 nucleotides) under uncultured beta proteobacterium. Its description in RNAcentral is "bacterial SSU rRNA". It matches the Rfam family "Bacterial small subunit ribosomal RNA", at positions 355 to 774 of the family's 1533-position model. Lineage: Bacteria; Pseudomonadati; Pseudomonadota; Betaproteobacteria. The record is from RNAcentral.